Molecule: ribosomal RNA, 252 nt
Filed under: uncultured bacterium
Lineage: Bacteria
Description: partial 16S ribosomal RNA
Rfam family: Bacterial small subunit ribosomal RNA
Source: RNAcentral
UACGUAGGGGGCAAGCGUUGUCCGGAUUUAUUGGCGUAAAGAGCGUGUAGGCGGCCUGACAGGUCUGCUGUGAAAACUCGAGGCUCAACCUCGAGAUGUCGGCGGAAACCGUCUGGCUAGAGUCCGGAAGAGGAGAGUGGAAUUCCUGGUGUAGCGGUGAAAUGCGCAGAUAUCAGGAAGAACACCUAUGGCGAAGGCAGCUCUCUGGGACGGUACUGACGCUGAGACGCGAAAGCGUGGGGAGCGAACAGG